AUGAAGAUUAAGAAGCUGAUGCCCAUGGAUGCUGAAUCCAGGAGGUUGAUUGAUUGGAUGGAGAAAGGUGUCUAUGAUGCCUUACAAAAGAAAUAUCUCAAGACCCUUCUCUUCUGUAUAUGUGAGAAGGAGGAAGGCCCAAUGAUUGAAGAGUAUGCCUUCUCAUUUAGCUACCCCAACACAAACGGGGAGGAAGUUGCAAUGAACAUGAGUCGCACAGGGAGCAAAAAGAAUAGUGCCACAUUCAAGUCAAAUGCAGCAGAAGUCACUCCUGAUCAGAUGAGGAGCUCUGCUUGUAAGAUGAUCAGAACGCUAGUUUCACUUAUGAGGACCUUGGACCAAAUGCCAGAGGAGCGAACCAUUCUAAUGAAGCUGCUAUACUAUGAUGAUGCUACACCUGAGGAUUACGAGCCUCCCUUCUUUAAGGGUUGUGCUGAGAAUGAGGCCGUAAAUAUAUGGAACAAGAACCCCUUGAAGAUGGAAGUGGGGAAUGUCAAUAGCAAGCAUCUUGUGUUAGCUUUGAAGGUUAAGAGUGUCCUUGAUCCAUGUGAUGCUAAUGAUGCUAACAGUGAUGAUGACAAGAUGAGCGUGGGUCAUGAGUCAGACCAAGAUGACUUUACGGACACCGAGGUUCACCCAUCUGAAGUGGAUCGUUACGUCAUUGCUCCUAAUGAUGGUAAUGGCAAAGGUCAAAGUGGUACAAACUCAGAUGAUGAAACUCAAGAUGCUGCUCAUGAGGAAGAGCUAACAGCUCAAGUAAGAGCAUGGAUAUGCUCAAGAAACAUGGGUACUGUUAAUGCUUCAGAUGUCCUUUCCAACUACCCUGACAUAUCAUUGGAAAUGGUGGAAGAUAUUUUGGAGAGGCUACUUAAAGAUGGUUUACUUUCGAGGGCAGGCAAGGAUGGUUAUGCUGUUAACAAGAUUACUGAUCCCAAAACACCCUACAUAAAGGAAGAGGUUGCCAUGCACAAUGUUUCACCUACUGAAGGAACCAAGAACAACAGUGGAGAUCUGAUGUAUAUGAAGGCAUUAUACCACGCACUUCCAAUGGAUUAUGUGACUAUAGCUAAGCUUCAGGGCAAGCUUGAUGGCGAAGCCAACCAGAGCACAGUCCGAAAGUUGAUGGACAAAAUGGUGCAAGAUGGAUACAUUAAGAAUUCAGGCAACAGAAGAUUAGGCAAAGCUGUCAUUCACUCUGAAGUCACCAACAGAAAGCUCCUUGAGAUAAAGAAGAUACUGGAAGUUGAUAUCACUGAAGACAUGGCAAUUGAUACCAACGCAAGGCCUGCUGAGUUUGAUCGCAGAGAUCACCAAACGGCUGACCAGGAAAUGAAAGAUGGCUCGACAAACGGCCGCUUCCAGUCAGUUGGAUCUGAUCUUACCCGCACACGGGAGCUGCCGGAGCAGCAGCAGACUAACAAGGACCCAAGCAGGACUCCCACAAGCAAUCGCGAGUCGGCCACGUCCCUGGAGAGUGGGGUGCUCGGGCAGAGGAUCAGGAAGUCUCUGGCUGGCGAAGAGUCGAUGUGCAUGCCGGACAAGCGGACCAGGAAGGCCAGCAUGGUGAAGGAGCCGAUCCUCCAGCAGGUCAAGCGCCAGAAGUCCUAG
This 1608-nucleotide ribosomal RNA is filed under the name Triticum aestivum (bread wheat). Its description in RNAcentral is "partial small subunit ribosomal RNA". Lineage: Eukaryota; Viridiplantae; Streptophyta; Magnoliopsida; Poales; Poaceae. The record is from RNAcentral.